GAAAUGCGAUAAGUAAUGUGAAUUGCAGAAUUCAGUGAAUCAUCGAAUCUUUGAACGCACAUUGCGCCCGCCAGUAUUCUGGCGGGCAUGCCUGUUCGAGCGUCAUUUCAACCAUCAAGCCCCCGGGCUUGUGUUGGGGACCUGCGGCUGCCCGCAGGCCCUGAAAACCAGUGGCGGGCUCGCUGUCACACCGAGCGUAGUAGCAAUCACCUCGCUCAGGGCGUGCUGCGGGUUCCGGCCGUUAGAGAGCCUUACAAACCCAAGGUUGACCUCGGAUCAGGUAGGAAGACCCGCUGAACUUAAGC
Molecule: unclassified non-coding RNA, 305 nt
Filed under: plant metagenome
Description: partial contains 5.8S ribosomal RNA, internal transcribed spacer 2, and large subunit ribosomal RNA
Rfam family: 5.8S ribosomal RNA (bases 1-105)
Source: RNAcentral